This 253-nucleotide ribosomal RNA is filed under the name uncultured bacterium. RNAcentral describes it as "partial 16S ribosomal RNA". It matches the Rfam family "Bacterial small subunit ribosomal RNA", at positions 524 to 776 of the family's 1533-position model. The record is from RNAcentral.
UACGUAGGGGGCAAGCGUUGUCCGGAAUCAUUGGGCGUAAAGGGCGCGUAGGCGGCGUGACAAGUCACUUGUGAAAUCUCCGGGCUUAACUCGGAGCGGCCAAGUGAUACUGUCGUGCUAGAGUGCAGAAGGGGCAACUGGAAUUCUCGGUGUAGCGGUGAAAUGCGUAGAUAUCGAGAGGAACACCUGCGGCGAAGGCGGGUUGCUGGGCUGACACUGACGCUGAGGCGCGAAAGCAUGGGGAGCGAACAGG